AAUUUAAAUUCAACAUUUAAUUAUGAAGAGUUUGAUUCUGGCUCAGAGUGAACGCUGGCGGCAUGCCUAACACAUGCAAGUCGAACGAGAACGGAAAUAGCUUGCUAUUUUGUCAGCUAAGUGGCGCACGGGUGAGUAAUAUAUAGUUAACUUGCCUUCUAGCAGGGGAUAACGCCGAGAAAUUGGUGCUAAUACCCUAUAUUCCUUUCUGUUUAAUGCAGUUUGGGAAAGAUUUAUCACUAGAAGAUAGGACUAUAUCCCAUCAGCUUGUUGGUAGUGUAAGAGACUACCAAGGCUAUGACGGGUAGCUGGUUUGAGAGGAUGAUCAGCCACACUGGAACUGAGACACGGUCCAGACUCCUACGGGAGGCAGCAGUGGGGAAUAUUGCACAAUGGAGGAAACUCUGAUGCAGCAAUGCCGCGUGAAGGAUGACGGUUUUCGGAUUGUAAACUUCUUUUAUAUACCAAGAUAAUGACGGUAGUAUAUGAAUAAGCACCGGCUAACUCCGUGCCAGCAGCCGCGGUAAUACGGAGGGUGCAAGCGUUACUCGGAAUCACUGGGCGUAAAGGGUACGUAGGUGUUCUAAUAAGUUGGAUGUGAAAUCCUAUGGCUUAACCAUAGAAGUGCAUUCAAAACUGUUAGAAUAGAGUUUGGGAGGGGUAAGUGGAAUUAGUGGUGUAGGGGUAAAAUCCGUAGAUAUCACUAGGAAUACCAAAAGCGAAGGCGACUUACUGGAACAAUACUGACACUGAGGUACGAAAGCGUGGGGAGCAAACAGGAUUAGAUACCCUGGUAGUCCACGCCCUAAACGAUGAAUGCUAAUCGUUGUGAGGCUUUGACCUUGCAGUGAUGCAGUUAACACAUUAAGCAUUCCGCCUGGGGAGUACGGUCGCAAGAUUAAAACUCAAAGAAAUAGACGGGGACCCGCACAAGCGGUGGAGCAUGUGGUUUAAUUCGACUAUACGCGAAGAACCUUACCUAGCCUUGACAUUGAUAGAAUCUUAUAGAAAUAUAGGAGUGCCUUUCGGGGAACUUGAAAACAGGUGCUGCACGGCUGUCGUCAGCUCGUGUCGUGAGAUGUUGGGUUAAGUCCCGCAACGAGCGCAACCCUUAUCUUUAGUUACUAACGGUUCGGCCGAGGACUCUAAAGAGACUGCCCUCGCAAGGGGGAGGAAGGUGAGGACGACGUCAAGUCAUCAUGGCCCUUACGGCUAGGGCUACACACGUGCUACAAUGGGGUGUUACAAUGAGAUGCAAUGUCGCGAGGCGGAGCAAAACUAUAAAGCACCUCCCAGUUCGGAUUGGAGUCUGCAACUCGACUCCAUGAAGUUGGAAUCGCUAGUAAUCGCGAAUCAGCCAUGUCGCGGUGAAUACGUUCCCGGGUCUUGUACUCACCGCCCGUCACACCAUGGGAGUUGAAUUCACCUGAAGUCGGAAUACUAAAUUAGUUACCGCCCACGGUGGGUUCAGCGACUGGGGUGAAGUCGAAACAAGGUAACCGUAGGAGAACCUGCGGUUGGAUCACCUCCA
This 1531-nucleotide ribosomal RNA is filed under the name uncultured Campylobacterota bacterium. Its description in RNAcentral is "bacterial SSU rRNA". It matches the Rfam family "Bacterial small subunit ribosomal RNA". The record is from RNAcentral. Lineage: Bacteria; Pseudomonadati; Campylobacterota.